Molecule: long non-coding RNA, 2309 nt
Filed under: Physcomitrium patens
Lineage: Eukaryota; Viridiplantae; Streptophyta; Bryopsida; Funariales; Funariaceae
Description: long non-coding RNA (PPAT_LNC000614)
Source: RNAcentral
GACAUAUUGCAUUACAACAAUAUGGAAUUAAUACUUUCAUAAUGGAUUAUAAUUGUGGUAUGUAGAUGCAACUAAUUAAAUUUUCUACUCAGUCAAUUAAGUGUAAUUAAUCAAAAAAAAUGUGGAAUUAUAUUGGCGUGCUUUUGAAGCAAGUUUCCUACUAUUAUUUGAUAUUUUUAUGCUUAUAUUUAUAAUAUUAUGCUAUUAUAUGCAUGAAUUAGAUAUUAUGCUCAUAUAUGUGUAUGUGGGUAGUCUAUGCUAACUUCAAAUUUGUAUAUACACUAGAUAUCUUGACUUUAUUUGUUAUUUUACUACACUUACUUGAAAUCAAAAGAUUAUGUGUUUUACAUAACUAUUUGAAGACCAACGUUACAGAUUUCCACAAGAUCUUUGGUUGUUAUCAUACCAAGAAUAUUUUCAUUCUAAAUUUUUACUAAAAGCACUUGAAUAUAAAACCAUAAUUUAGGCGUUUUGUUAAGCUUUUUAUAUUUCUUUGUUCUAAUUGAUUGGUAGGAAAUAUUCUAAAGAUAGGCAUUGAGGUAGGAUCCAUAGUAAUGCUUCUUAUCAAUUACCACCCUAAUCUCUAUACAAUUUGUUGGAAUUUUUGAUUUAUAUAAUUGUUGUACCAGUUUGUCUAUAUGGUGGAUUCAUUUCAUGAAUUUAUUACUAUCCAUUCAUCUUUCAAAUUUAUUUAUAGUUUCUUUGUUGAUCCAUGUGACAAUUUGUUUAUUUGUUUCUUUGUUGAUCGCUGUAGGGUUUGUUGUUUUGUGGCUUGAUACUUUACAAGACACACCAUGGCGGACUAAAGCUGUGACUGAGAACUCACCAUCAGCAGGGUAUUUGAAGAGGAUUGUAUGGGCAAGAGCAGAGGUGUAUGUGUGUUCUUUUUAUUGUUUCAGAUUUUUUAAUGUUUUUUUUGUUGAUCCAUGUGUUUCUUUGUUUUUAAUUUUUAUUGUUGUCUGUUUGUUGUUUGUUUGAUCAGCCAUUUACAAACUGAGUAAGGUUUGAAUCUGCAAAAAAAUCAUUUUGAUAAACCUAACAGCAACUUGCAACAACACCAGACUGUGGCAGAAAGGUCUUGCCACAAUCAACAUUUAUUAGAGCUAUGAAGACAAACAACAACCAAUGAUAAUAAACAACAAUACUAGAACAUAUGUGAGUCUUAAAUUCUAGAAGUUUUUUAAUUCUUGUGUAUUUUUUUGUUUUUGUUUAUUUUUUUAUGUGUAUGAAAUAUGUUAAUUCUUAAAUGGGAGCCAAUUUUUUAUUUGUCAUCUUUUGGCUUAUAUAUUUUUGUUUAAAAUAUUAAAAAACUUGUACCAUAAGGUUACUUUUUUUAAUUGUGCUACUAUAUAAACAAGUUCUUCAAUUUGCAAGUAUUGUUUCUUAUCAUUGUAGUGCUCAUCUUUAAUAUUGGUGAUGAUACUCUUGCAACACAAUAGACGAAGUUAUCACUAAGAUAAUAAGUGCUAUAUUUAUUACAAAUUUACUGCUAGAAAUAAAGACUUCCUAUGUAGUACAUUGUUCAAUUGAAUCAAUCUUUGAUAAUUCUUUGUCAAAGCCAAAGAAAUCUUUCUUUUGUUGUAGUGAUAUAUAGAGCAUUGAGAGUUAGAAGAUGUGUAGGAAUUCCAAACUAGCAGUAAGAAGAUGAAUGCAUAUAUAUCAUGUAGUUGGAAUAUAUAGGAUAUACGUAAAUAAAUGAGUGCAUAUGUAGUGCAUCAUUAUAUAAAGAAUAUAGAUCAUUUUGGUGCUGAAAGUUCAUCAUUAUUUUGGAACUUAUAUUGGUUGAUUAGACCUUUUAUAAUAAAACUAUAUGGUAUUUAUUAAGAAAAUUAUGCAUUGUAAUAAAAAAAAUAUAUAUAUAUAUAUAUAUUACAUGAUCAUAUCUAUUAUAAUCAAGUAUAUGUAAUAUCUAAGAUAUUUUUCAUAAAUCAUAGUAUUUUCUUGGAAAUAGUAUUUAAACAUAUCCAUUAUAUUCUUCCACAUCUACAAUCAAAGGACCUAAAAAUGUUAUUCUUCUAUAAUGAUGGUUUAUUUUGUUGGUGUGAUUUAAAUUGAAAAGACCAUAAGAAGGUUUCAUUAACAAACUUGAAUACAAAUAUAAAUAAUAGUGAUUUAGAAUUAUAAUUUAUAUAUUUUUAAUUAUGUGAUUUUUAAAAAAUUAUAACAAUAAUCCAUGUAUUAUUAUUAUUAUUAUUAUUAUUAUUAUUAUCAAAAGAUAUUAUUAUUAUUAUCAAAAGAUAUUAUUAUUAUUAAAAUAAUCUUAUUAUUAAAAGAUAUUAUUAUCAAAAGGUAUUAUCAAAUCAUUUUUU